GUAGGGUGCGAGCGUUGUCCGGAAUUAUUGGGCGUAAAGAGCUUGUAGGUGGUUUGUCGCGUCUGCUGUGAAAAUCCGGGGCUCAACCCCGGACUUGCAGUGGGUACGGGCAGACUAGAGUGUGGUAGGGGAGACUGGAAUUCCUGGUGUAGCGGUGGAAUGCGCAGAUAUCAGGAGGAACACCGAUGGCGAAGGCAGGUCUCUGGGCCAUUACUGACACUGAGAAGCGAAAGCAUGGGGAGCGAACAGGAUUAGAUACCCUGGUAGUCCAUGCCGUAAACGUUGGGAACUAGGUGUGGGUCUCAUUCCACGAGAUCCGUGCCGCAGCUAACGCAUUAAGUUCCCCGCCUGGGGAGUACGGCCGCAAGGCUA
Molecule: ribosomal RNA, 372 nt
Filed under: uncultured bacterium
Lineage: Bacteria
Description: bacterial SSU rRNA
Rfam family: Bacterial small subunit ribosomal RNA
Source: RNAcentral